AAUAAUGUAAUACCCGAUUUUGGCCCGGGUAAAAGGCCCAAAUUACAAACGGGCCUAUAAGGGCCCAAACCGAAAUAAAACAAGAGGCCCAAAAUUCGGUCGCCCAAAACAAUUGCAGGAACCCUAGGGUUUCUAAGGAUCAACAGUGCCGCAGCCAAGCCAGAAUCUCCACGCCUUCACCUGUAAGAAAUAAACAGCAAAAAUGGAAAGAGAAUCAAAGAUUCGCAAAUCAAAUAAAAAAUAGAUUUGUUUCUUCUUUAUAUUGUUUCAUUCGGUUAUAAAAAAGCCAUGGAUGUACUGUAAAAGGGAUGAAAAAAGUAAAUAAGAAAAAGAGAGCAGCAUUUCACACAAAAAAAGAACUGGAAAUUAAAUCGGAGAAUCAAUCGAAAACACAAAGGUUGAUGUAUAUAUAUAUAUAUAUAUAUUUGUUUCUGUUAUUUAUUUCUUUUAUUUUUUACAUACUGAUAAAAUAAAAGAAAAAGGUAGAGAAGUUUACCUUCGUGUGGGUUUGUCACGCCGUGAGACGAUUGAGGGAGCCACCCCCGAGGAUCGGUGGCCGAAAAUCGAAAGGUUUUGAGAUUUCCUCCCGUUUU
RNAcentral lists this long non-coding RNA (593 nucleotides) under Gossypium raimondii (Peruvian cotton). RNAcentral's name for it is "long non-coding RNA (GRAI_LNC005872)". The record is from RNAcentral. Lineage: Eukaryota; Viridiplantae; Streptophyta; Magnoliopsida; Malvales; Malvaceae.